This 790-nucleotide long non-coding RNA is filed under the name Vombatus ursinus (common wombat). Its description in RNAcentral is "lncRNA (ENSVURG00010011789.1)". The record is from RNAcentral. Lineage: Eukaryota; Metazoa; Chordata; Mammalia; Diprotodontia; Vombatidae.
CAGAAAGCGUCUACCAUGCACCUAUGGACACUUCCAGCUCCUCCAGGUACAGCAGAAAAUCAGCAAGUAUUUAUGAAACCAAGCCUGAGUCAUCGGGACUAGAAACUUCUACCAACAGGAACCAAAAUCCCAGUCCCAACAGUACCAGGCAAAAACGAGAUCCUGAAGCUAAGGAGAAGGAUGUCACCAGGCGCUUUUCCCUUGCCUCCUCCCUUGGCACCACAGCUCCCACCCCCACUGGCCUCAGCAAAGGUCCUCUAGGUCCUGCAGUUAAAGUCAAGAGACAUGAAAUAAAGAGUGACCCAACACCACUUGGGUUUGAAGAUGCUUUUGAGAAUUCCAUCCUGGCCCAGGGCAAAUGCAGUGGCAGGCCCACCACAAGAACGGUACCCAGAUCUGCCUCCCAGACAGGCUGGCCCAGCAGGCAGCUUCCUUCUCUGGAUACUUUUGAGGAUUUUGAAGUCAUUCCCUCCAGUACAGAUGAACUCUCCAACUCUUCAGACAUGGAAGAAGACAUCAGCACCCAUAAUGUGUCCGGCCUUUUCCGAGUAGAGGGCAGUUAUGAAACCUGCUCCCCAGAUUCUCUCACCCUGGAGGAUGGUGACUUGGUGCAGUUUGUACAGGAGGGAGAAAAUGGACAAUGGUUAGUAAAGAAAUUGCUUUCCGAGAAAAGUGACUGGGUACCCUCCAGUCUUCUUCAUCCUGCAGUUGUAGAUGGUGACCAGAUUCAUAAAAAUAAUAACAUAGGUAAGUACCAGGCAGGAAGCAGGAUGCAGUCCGUAAGGUGGUC